GAUGAACGUUGGCGGCGUGCCUAAUACAUGCAAGUCGAACGAAGACUGUAGUAAUACUGUCUUAGUGGCGAACGGGUGAGUAACGCGUGGGUGACCUGCCCCGAAGUGUGGGAUAACAGUCCGAAAGGAUUGCUAAUACUGCAUAAUAUCCAAGAGAUUAGAUGCUUUUGGAUUAAAGGAGUAAUUCGCUUCGGGAGGGGCCCGCGUCCCAUCAGCUAGUUGGUAAGGUAAUGGCUUACCAAGGCGAUGACGGGUAGGGGACCUGAGAGGGUGGCCCCCCAAAUGGAACUGAAACACGGUCCAUACACCUACGGGUGGCAGCAGUAGGGAAUAUUAGUAAUGGGCGAAAGCCUGAACUAGCAACGCCGCGUGUGCGAAGAAGGCCUUCGGGUCGUAAAGCACUUUUUGAGAGGAUGAGGAAGGACGGUACUCUCAGAAUAAGUCUCGGCUAACUACGUGCCAGCAGCCGCGGUAAUCAACGAGAGUA
Molecule: ribosomal RNA, 487 nt
Filed under: uncultured bacterium
Lineage: Bacteria
Description: bacterial SSU rRNA
Rfam family: Bacterial small subunit ribosomal RNA
Source: RNAcentral